Molecule: unclassified non-coding RNA, 2206 nt
Filed under: Acanthaster planci (crown-of-thorns starfish)
Lineage: Eukaryota; Metazoa; Echinodermata; Asteroidea; Valvatida; Acanthasteridae
Description: suppression of tumorigenicity 5 protein-like, transcript variant X7
Source: RNAcentral
AAACUCCAGACAGAAGCACAGCUGUAGCACACGCACAGUUUACAUAUUGACGGUCAAGACUUUUCGAACCGAGGUUCUUUGCAAGCACUGACUGUGCACAGGUUUUGACACAUGCGUCGUCCUAGCGGUGCAGCCUGCAUGGACAUGUUUCUCUGCAUGAGUCUUGGUCAUGUGAUCUAUGGUUGGGCUGAUCUGAUGAACUGCCGCACAAGCAGACAGACAUGUACACGUACGUGUACCUGUUGUUCAUCUUCCUGCAAAAAUGUUCCACGGUUUCUCACCGACUGCAUGUUGAUUUGACUGUUCCUAUCGUCCACGACGUCACUUUUUUGGCUAACAUUCUAACCUGUGAUUGUUUCUGUAGCAAUGGGUACCCAUGGGUUGGAAGAGAAAAGAGCUCCUGAACAUGUAAGAUGCUAUAAUCGGCAUCGGCUAGACAUGACAUCAUUGUCCCAAGCGAAGGAUGAGAAGCCCAUCGCUGCAAGCCACGCCCGCCCACCCGUCCAACUGAAGGAUGUCAAGCUCAAGGAUCGCAUCAAUCUCUUUGAAGGCCUGUCCCAGCAGCCGGCAGCCACCUGUGGCAGCAGCUACAACAAGAACAUGUCAGCCAACAACUCGGAACAGGCCCGCUACCCAAAGGUGGUGUCUCCUGAGCACAAGCGCUGGACCCACAUGGAGACAGACCACCCUGGUAACCUGACUCCUCCCUGGAAGCACCUGGGCAACCAGGAGCCCUCACAAAGCCGUGCAGGCCCAGGCUUGAUGUCAUCAACUGCAGCCGAGAGGACCAAGACCAGGGCCAAGACACUGGGGCCUCGAUCGCGCGACAGGCCAAUGGACCACCCACCGCUGCCUGUCAAGCCAUCCCUGACCCCGACCAAGAAUGGCCAGUCGACGUCAGCAGAUGUGGAGAAAAGUAAACUGGCACAGACAAAUAAGCCAACGUUAAAUUCGAAUGCGACACAGCCCCGAGCGGACGUCAUUUACAUCGAUGGCACGCCUGUCCAACUGCGAAACUCUCGUAAGUUCUCUGCCGACAAUGCCCAAGCACGGAGCAUGGUGGGUGCAAUGAUAAAAAACUUUGAGAUGAAAGAAGAUGCAAAGGAAGUCGAGGGGCUGCACCUGAAUAAGAACGGUUCAGCCCUGGAUGUGAUUCCGGUGAACAACAUUCAGAGGAGAAGUGCAGAACUGAAUCGAUUGUCUUGCGAGACAAGAACUAGACCGCAGCCGCAGAUGCAAGACCUGCGGAACCCACAGUACCCAGAAUUCCGUAAACUAGUCCGCAGACGAUCAAAGAGUGCCUCUGAUAUUUACCCGGAAGGGGUUACUUUUCCGGAGAAGCACCAGCCGCCCUCCAAACCUAAGCGAACGUAUGAGCAUGACAUCUACAUGGAGAGCAAGACAGUUCUUGGACAGCGGAAGGGGAAUGCCAAGAAGGAGAAUGGAGUGACGAACCCCUUGUAUGCAGUAGGCGCGGACGAAGACAUCAGCAGGGAAAGCCUCGAGGAGAGCUCUGCACCCGACUUGCACGCUCCUGCAGCCGAGACGCAUGGCAGACGGAAAGAACUCCCACCCCUGCCCAACAUGCCUCCCUACACCCCGCCACUAGGCAGGCCGAAGGGUCAAAGUUUGGAGGUCAGCAAAGGUGUUUUGGUUUCCAAGCCGACAGCAACCUCCAACCGUCUUGGGGUCCCUCCCCUUCCCGGGCGGCCACGCAGCGACACCACCCCCUGUAGUACCUUGGAACGGCAUCCCAAUAACAGCCUACCCCGCUCCUACUCGAGUGAGGACAUCAAUAAACUGUCAUCUGAAUGCGUGCCCCUGAAGCAGCUUAGCCCGUCCGGGAAGCCCCGGCCAAUGGGGACUACGUCCGAGUACGCUGAGCCCAUUCUGUCCCCGGAUCUAAAUUACUGAGGACACCAGGGAAAGUAUCUUCAGUGAAGCCAAAGAGGUGGAUGUUGUAGUGGAUGCGGAAGGCUACUCAGUCCCCGGCAGUCACUUGUGGAAAAAGCCUGAGCCACACGGUGCCCUCAAGAAACCAGCGGGCAUACACGGCAGAGUUCAGUCGUGGAAAACUGGGCUGACGAGGAGCAGAAAGUCCAGUAGCGAGAGGAGGGCGGUUGCCGCCCACACCUACGCCGAGCCUGGCAGUCACGUUGACAAUGACACCACGCCUGAACCGUCAAUCAGACAACGCAGCAAACUU